Osmerus eperlanus (European smelt) is the source of this 569-nucleotide long non-coding RNA. RefSeq lists it as uncharacterized. The record is from RefSeq and is a predicted model, not a curated record. The transcript is spliced from 4 exons. Lineage: Eukaryota; Metazoa; Chordata; Actinopteri; Osmeriformes; Osmeridae.
AUAAUAAGAUAGUUGACAGUGUUCAGGAUGGAUGACUUUAUAUUAAUACAUGAAAUUGAAAUACGAAGAGAGCUUUACGACCACGGUGACCCCAAAUUCAGUACAAGGACAAACGAAAAAGAGAUGCCGGAUGGAGGGCUGUUUCGGAGGCAGUUGGGAUAACUGUUGUGAAGUGCCAAGGUCGCUGGAGGGACCUAAGGGACCAAUUAUCAAAAAAAAAGGUUCAACCACGGAGUGGAUCGGCAGCAGGACCCCAAAAGGAGUGGAAAUACUCCCAAGCCCUUUCCUUCCUUGUUCCCCACCUUCAACCCACGAGCUCUAGAAGCAGCCUAGACCAGGUUGAUGUGGAUGAUUGGGAGGCAUUGGACCUGAGCCAUGGAGAGGAUGUGCGGGAUGAACAGCUGAUCAACAUUUUCAACCUGGUUCUUCAACCAGCAGGCCCUACAACAGACCUGCCGCGCGCAAGAGGGCCUCAGCACCUGCAGUGUCAUUGGAGGAUAGGCUGCUGGCUAUGGUCCAGGAGCCUCCACAACCGAUGUUCCAUCGUGUGCCACAGGAAGAGGAUGAGA